RNAcentral lists this ribosomal RNA (496 nucleotides) under uncultured bacterium. RNAcentral's name for it is "bacterial SSU rRNA". It matches the Rfam family "Bacterial small subunit ribosomal RNA", at positions 899 to 1397 of the family's 1533-position model. The record is from RNAcentral.
ACUCAAAGGAAUUGACGGGGACCCGCACAAGCAGUGGAGUAUGUGGUUUAAUUCGAAGCAACGCGAAGAACCUUACCAGGGCUUGACAUCCCCUGCAUACCGCGGAGACGCGGGAAGCCCUUCGGGGCAGGGAGACAGGUGGUGCAUGGUUGUCGUCAGCUCGUGUCGUGAGAUGUUGGGUUAAGUCCCGCAACGAGCGCAACCCUUGCUGCCAGUUGCCAUCAUUAGGUUGGGCACUCUGGCGGGACUGCCGGCGAUAAGUCGGAGGAAGGUGGGGAUGACGUCAAAUCAUCAUGCCCCUUAUGUCCUGGGCUACACACGUACUACAAUGGGCGUUACAACGGGAGGCGAAGGAGCAAUCCGGAGCGAAUCCUCCAAAGGCGCCCCCAGUUCGGAUCGCGGGCUGAAACCCGCCCGCGUGAAGUUGGAAUUGCUAGUAAUGGCAGGUCAGCAUACUGCCGUGAAUACGUUCCCGGGUCUUGUACACACCGCCCGU